GGUUUGAUGUUAGCUAUAAGUCAACGCUACAUAACUGGACAACACAUGCUAGUAAUUAUUUAAUUUUUAAUUUUAAAAAUUACGUGCUGGUGAGUAUAAGUUUUUAUGAACCUAUUUAUAUAGAUCGUUAAAACUAAUACAUACAUAACAAUAAUUAUUGUUAUUAAAUGUAUUUAGCUGAAAAAAUAAACCAAGAAUAGCAGCCACUUGAGUAUACAUAAAAGUAGCAUAACAGCAGUGGAAAACAUUAAAACAAUUAAAUAUUAGUUUGAUUUAGUAAGUUACAUUGGCUUCGUAUUUAUAAUGAAAAUAUGGAGUCAUUAAGUUAUGGCCAAAAUAUGUGCCAGCAGCCGCGGUAAGACAUGAAUAACUAGCGUUAUUUUUCGUAGCUAGGUGUAAAAAAUACUACAUUAGUUAUAUAAUAAAUAUAAUUAUAUAAAAUUAUUAUAAUUUAAAAUAUUAAUGUUGGUAAUUAGGGA
This 479-nucleotide ribosomal RNA is filed under the name uncultured bacterium. Its description in RNAcentral is "partial 16S ribosomal RNA". The record is from RNAcentral.